UUGAACGCUGGCGGCAUGCUUUACACAUGCAAGUCGAACGGCAGCGGGGGCUUCGGCCUGCCGGCGAGUGGCGAACGGGUGAGUAAUGCAUCGGAACGUACCCAGUCGUGGGGGAUAACUACGCGAAAGCGUAGCUAAUACCGCAUACGUCCUGAGGGAGAAAGCGGGGGAUCUUCGGACCUCGCGCGAUUGGAGCGGCCGAUGUCGGAUUAGCUAGUAGGUGAGGUAAAGGCUCACCUAGGCGACGAUCCGUAGCGGGUCUGAGAGGAUGAUCCGCCACACUGGGACUGAGACACGGCACAGACUCCUACGGGAGGCAGCAGUGGGGAAUUUUGGACAAUGGGGGAAACCCUGAUCCAGCCAUUCCGCGUGAGUGAAGAAGGCCUUCGGGUUGUAAAGCUCUUUCAGCAGGAACGAAACGGUAGGCUUUAAUACAGUCUGCUAAUGACGGUACCUGCAGAAGAAGCACCGGCUAACUACGU
Molecule: ribosomal RNA, 482 nt
Filed under: uncultured bacterium
Lineage: Bacteria
Description: bacterial SSU rRNA
Rfam family: Bacterial small subunit ribosomal RNA
Source: RNAcentral